CCCACCAAUCAUUUAAUAUACAAUCAGUCAACCACCAUAAGAAUACAAACAUUAAAAAUCAAAUUAUUUACAAAAUUUAUCGAGGUUCCAAAUCCAAACUAUAAAACAUACAAAAGACUAAAAACUACAACUAAUCAUCAACAUCUUCAUUCUCAGCAUCACCCAUUUUACUAUCAAUAUUUCAUUGAUAUAUCCAUCUAUAAUCAGGUUCCAUCUACAAAAUCAAUCACAUUCAAGUAAUUAGUUAAAGUCACAAAAGUUCACAUUUCAAAUACCUACACUUAAAUAUUUUCAAGUCACCAAUUUACUUCACAAGUUACCAAACUAAACUUAAUUCAAAAUGAAAAGUUCACGUUUCAANNNNNNNNNNNNNNNNNNNNNNNNNNNNNNNNNNNNNNNNNNNNNNNNNNNNNNNNNNNNNNNNNNNNNNNNNNNNNNNNNNNNNNNNNNNNNNNNNNNNNNNNNNNNNNNNNNNNNNNNNNNNNNNNNNNNNNNNNNNNCCACACCUAAACAUUUUCAAGUCACUAAUUCACUUCACAAGUUACCAAACUAAAUUUAAUUCAAAAUGAAAAGUUCAAAUUUCAAGUACCUACACUUAUACAUUUUCAAGUCACUAAUUCACUUCUCAAGUGACCACACUUUACUAAAAUCAAAACACAAGUUCACAUUUCAAAUACCUAAAUUCAAAACAAAAAGUUCAUAUUUCAAGUAACUACACCUAAAUAUUUUCAAGUCACUUCACAAGUUACCAAACUGAACUAAAUUCAAAAUGAAAGUUCACAUUUCAAGUACCUACACCUAAACAUUUCAAGUCACUAAUUCACUUCACAAGUUACCAAACUAAACUAAAUUCAAAAUGAAAAGUUCACAUUUCAAGUACCUACACCUAAACAUUUUCAAGUCACUAAGUCAUUUCACAAGUUACCAAACUAAACUAAAUUCAAAAUGAAAAGUUCACAUUUCAAGUACCUACACUUAAAUAUUUUCAAGUCACUAACUCACUUCUCAAGUGACCAUACUUAACUAUAUUCAAAACAUUAGUCCACCUUUCAAGUAACUAUACUUAAAUAUUUUCGACUCACUAAUGCACUUCUCAAGUAACUACACUUAACUAAAUUCAAAAAAUAAGUCCACAUUUCAAGUACCUACACUUAAAUAUUUUCAAGUCACUAACUCACUUCUCAAGUGACCACACUUAACUAUAUUCAAAACACACGUUCACCUUUCAAGUAACUACACUUAAAUAUUUUCGACUCACUAAUACACUUCUCAAGUGACCAUACUUAACUAAAUUCAAAACACAUAUCCACAUUUCAAAUGCCUACACUUAAACAUUUUCAAUUCACUUAUUCACUUCUCUAGUGACCACACUUAACUAUAUUCAAAACACAAGUUCACCUUUUAAGUAACUACACUUAAAUAUUUUCGACUCACUAAUACACUUCUCAAGUGACCAAACUUUAGUAAAUUCUACACAUUCAUGACAAUUUAUAUCUCAAAAGUCAAAACUUUAUUUACCCUAACUUUUUAGGUCUAAAAAUUUAAUGUUACUUCCUAUAUUGUGUAACUGUCUCCUUACAACAUCCUAUCUGACAUCUUAAAAGGAUAUUUUUAUACGUUAAAGAUCCUAUAUUAUUUUUCUUUUAGAGAGAUAUGUCUAAAGCUCUUAUUUAUCACAAAGAAAGAUAGAGAGUCUAUAGAGUGUAGAGUGCGUCAGUUGCAAGUUGUCUUUGAAGGAAAAUAAUGGUUGUUUAUAUAGUCCUAGUAGUGUAAAACUAUAGUUGUUGCUAGUAGUGUAAACCUACUAGCAAGGACACACUCCUUGCUACUAUCCUUCUACUCUAAUUCGCAUCCUUCGUACCUUCGAACAAGUAAUAUUAAAAUAAUGAUAUCAAUCAGCAUAAGGCUGCCUCUUCAAAAUGAAAGAUGAACAAAAUUCAUAGUCUGGCCAAAUUUAGUACAGAGGUGUCCUACCAUACAAGAAAUGUAAUGGUAGGCUGUUUCAGACAUAUCAUCAAAUUUCUACAAUAAUGGAACCUGCAAUAUUCUACUCUUACAUAAAGAAAGAUCAAAUAUGGGACAAAUCAGCAAGCUAGGAACAAAAGUAAGUGCAUCACAAAGAAAGAUCUCCCUGGGGUGGGAUUAAUUCAGCACCCAUGUCCACCAUCCUUACCAAGGUCAACCCUGACAAGACUGUCAUCUCACAGGAAAAGGGUAAUCUAAUGAAUAUUAAACUAGAGGAUUAGAACACUUAAAAUGUAUCGAAAAAUACAAACCAACGGAGAUAGUAUCUAAGAAUGAUUUCAACAAGAAGAUUCUGAAAGAAAUUUAAAAUAUUUUAACAUUACAUAGUUUCUACACAGCAUAAUCGAUCAAAAGAAAGAAAAAUGCACAGUGACGAGGAUUGAAUGAAGGAGAAAAUAACAUACUCUAUCAACAUUAUAGAUUCUACAACUAACUUACUUCUCAAGUGACGAGGAUGGGAGUUUCGUCGGUUGAGCGACAAAGAGGAAGUCGAUGCUGGAGCAGUACCUGGUGGGUCAUUGGCGGCGGUUCUUGAUGGUUCCGCUAGCUGGAGCUAUGGCUGGAAACGAGAGAGCAGAGAGAGGAGGCCGAUAAUGGGUUGCUACUUCUCCAGCGUCUCACUAGCCACGAUGACCGACGUGGUGGUGGCCGACGACAACUUUUGCUAUUUGAUAAAGAAAGAAAGAAGAGAGAGAAAGGGGGAGAGAGAGAUGCGGCUGUUGAGAGAAUAUUGGGAUUAGGUUUUGUUUUGUUGUUUGAAAAGAAAAGGAAGGGG
This 2800-nucleotide long non-coding RNA is filed under the name Capsicum annuum. RNAcentral describes it as "long non-coding RNA (CANN_LNC021368)". Lineage: Eukaryota; Viridiplantae; Streptophyta; Magnoliopsida; Solanales; Solanaceae. The record is from RNAcentral.